RNAcentral lists this long non-coding RNA (515 nucleotides) under Lotus japonicus. RNAcentral describes it as "long non-coding RNA (LJAP_LNC001582)". The record is from RNAcentral. Lineage: Eukaryota; Viridiplantae; Streptophyta; Magnoliopsida; Fabales; Fabaceae.
CAAAGUGUUACUUACUCUGGCUGAUGUCUUAUACAGGUGUUUGUAACCAUGCUUUUCAUUUUCAUUGCAUAAGCCGUUGGCUCAAGACCCGUCAAGUGUGUCCUCUAGGUAUGUUGACUAAAUUUCUUUCACCUUUCAUUUUAUGUUUGGACCCAGUGAUUAAUUAGUGUUCUCACUUGCUUGAUGUUUCUCUGCUGGUACAGAUAACAGUGAGUGGGAGUUCCAGAAAUACGGUCACUAGAACUUUGAUGCGGUUGAGCUGCGCCUACUCGGACAUUUGGACUUCUUCUAUAUUUCUGUUGAAACAUUUACUGCUGUCUGCAUUGUCUUUUUGUUUUGUCUACUUGAGCUUAACUCUCUUUUAAGUUAUUAUUGAGUUACUGCUAAUUAGCGUUCUGUGUAAGGAAUUAAAAAUGAAUAGUUGUUGAAAUUACAGUAUUUUAGAAUCAGCACAUUACUUUGCAUAUUUUUUUCUUUGGGGUCAGCUGAUGAGUAAAAUCAAUACACAAAGUCAA